AUGACAAAGACAAUGUUGGUUGUGUUCUUCAGUGCCCUGUUGGUUUGCUCUUUAUUUACACAAGGUGUUGAUGCCAGAAGUAUUGGUUAUGGUGCAAUGAGAAGAAACACUAUUCUAUGCAGCAAAAAAAAUCCUUUAUUCUGUAAACGAAUUCCAGCCAACCCAUAUAAUAGAGGAUGUGAAAAAAUAAACAGGUGUCGCGGUAAUAAAAGAGGAUAA
Molecule: non-coding RNA, 219 nt
Organism: Vicia faba (fava bean)
Lineage: Eukaryota; Viridiplantae; Streptophyta; Magnoliopsida; Fabales; Fabaceae
Source: the annotation of a GenBank genome assembly